AGUUAGCCUGUUGCGUUAGGGAUAGAAGCGGCAUCCUUUUUUUGAGGUACGAUAAAAAAGAUAGAGCGUAUAGCCCGACCCGAU
This 84-nucleotide small RNA is filed under the name Siansivirga zeaxanthinifaciens CC-SAMT-1. Its description in RNAcentral is "Flavo-1 RNA". It matches the Rfam family "Flavo-1 RNA". The record is from Rfam by way of RNAcentral. Lineage: Bacteria; Pseudomonadati; Bacteroidota; Flavobacteriia; Flavobacteriales; Flavobacteriaceae.